This 253-nucleotide ribosomal RNA is filed under the name uncultured bacterium. RNAcentral describes it as "partial 16S ribosomal RNA". It matches the Rfam family "Bacterial small subunit ribosomal RNA", at positions 524 to 776 of the family's 1533-position model. The record is from RNAcentral.
UACGUAGGGGGCAAGCGUUGUCCGGAAUUAUUGGGCGUAAAGAGCUCGUAGGCGGUCUGUCGCGUCUGCUGUGAAAACUCGGGGCUUAACCCCGGGCCUGCAGUGGGUACGGGCAGACUAGAGUGCGGUAGGGGAGACUGGAAUUCCUGGUGUAGCGGUGAAAUGCGCAGAUAUCAGGAGGAACACCGAUGGCGAAGGCAGGUCUCUGGGCCACUACUGACGCUGAGAAGCGAAAGCAUGGGGAGCGAACAGG